RNAcentral lists this ribosomal RNA (484 nucleotides) under uncultured bacterium. RNAcentral's name for it is "partial 16S ribosomal RNA". It matches the Rfam family "Bacterial small subunit ribosomal RNA", at positions 30 to 507 of the family's 1533-position model. The record is from RNAcentral.
AUUGAACGCUGGCGGCAGGCCUAACACAUGCAAGUCGAGCGGAUGAAGGGAGCUUGCUCCUGGAUUCAGCGGCGGACGGGUGAGUAAUGCCUAGGAAUCUGCCUGGUAGUGGGGGAUAACGUCCGGAAACGGGCGCUAAUACCGCAUACGUCCUGAGGGAGAAAGUGGGGGAUCUUCGGACCUCACGCUAUCAGAUGAGCCUAGGUCGGAUUAGCUAGUUGGUGGGGUAAAGGCCUACCAAGGCGACGAUCCGUAACUGGUCUGAGAGGAUGAUCAGUCACACUGGAACUGAGACACGGUCCAGACUCCUACGGGAGGCAGCAGUGGGGAAUAUUGGACAAAGGGCGAAGGCCUGAUCCAGCCAUGCCGCGUGUGUGAAGAAGGUCUUCGGAUUGUAAAGCAUUUUAAGUUGGGAGGAAGGGCAGUAAGUUAAUACCUUGCUGUUUUGACGUUACCAACAGAAUAAGCACCGGCUAACUUCGUG